GGACUACAGGGGUUUCUAAUCCUGUUUGCUCCCCACGCUUUCGCACCUCAGCGUCAGUAUCGGCCCAGGUCUCCGCCUUCGCCACUGGUGUUCCUCCCGAUAUCUACGAAUUUCACCUCUACACCGGGAAUUCCGAGACCCCCUUCCGUACUCGAGCCUCGCAGUUUCAAGUGCCCUUCCUGGGUUGAGCCCAGGGCUUUCACACCUGACUUGCGAGACCGCCUACGUGCGCUUUACGCCCAAUGAUUCCGAGCAACGUUCGCACCCUCCGUAUUACCGCGGCUGCUGGCAC
This 292-nucleotide ribosomal RNA is filed under the name uncultured bacterium. RNAcentral's name for it is "partial 16S ribosomal RNA". The record is from RNAcentral.